CCCUGCCUCUGUAUUCCCAUAGCCUGCUACAGACCUCCACGACAUCACAUGAAAGGUACCAGCUAAACAGAUGUGGGGUGAUUAACCAUCCACUCCAAGGAACACAUGUGGGAAGGUAUCCGUCAGUGGAGCAGGUUUGCAAAUACACGACACACGAGACUCGCCACUGGCCUUAAUGAAGCCUGCAUCAUUCGGUGCUGAAAGCAAAAGAUGACGAGCUCCAUGAGGGCCAAGGCUCUCCAUUCUUGUUCACCACUGCACACUCAGGAGCUCAUGGCAUGCUGGCUGUGCUAGUUCUAUCCUCAACAGAAUAAUUGCUGACAAACUCUCUUGCCCAGAAAAUGUCUACUGGAAUUAUGGAGUACAAAAAAACUACAAAAGCAAUGAAAAAAAGAAGGAUGUUUUAUUUACAUCCUAUUUCAAAACCAUUGCUUUCUUGCUAUUGUAUGUCUCUGCAGGCCCAAUAUCGCGCAUCUUCAUAAGAAGUUUAGAAUUGUUCCUUAUGUUUCCUUCUAACAAACACUGGUGUUAAGUUUCAAGAAGUUGGUGAAAUGGAGACAGCCAAUCCAACCCAGGAGACAGUGUUUGAAAACAGGG
Molecule: long non-coding RNA, 597 nt
Filed under: Homo sapiens (human)
Lineage: Eukaryota; Metazoa; Chordata; Mammalia; Primates; Hominidae
Description: CHRM3 antisense RNA 2
Source: RNAcentral